RNAcentral lists this ribosomal RNA (454 nucleotides) under uncultured Porphyromonadaceae bacterium. Its description in RNAcentral is "bacterial SSU rRNA". It matches the Rfam family "Bacterial small subunit ribosomal RNA", at positions 341 to 792 of the family's 1533-position model. The record is from RNAcentral. Lineage: Bacteria; Pseudomonadati; Bacteroidota; Bacteroidia; Bacteroidales; Porphyromonadaceae.
ACGGGAGGCAGCAGUGAGGAAUAUUGGUCAAUGGACGGAAGUCUGAACCAGCCAUGUCGCGUGAAGGAAGACGGUACUACGUAUUGUAAACUUCUUUUAUCUGGGGGUAAAGUGGCCCACGAGUGGGCUAUUGCAAGUACCAGAUGAAUAAGCAUCGGCUAACUCCGUGCCAGCAGCCGCGGUAAUACGGAGGAUGCGAGCGUUAUCCGGAUUUAUUGGGUUUAAAGGGUGCGUAGGCGGGCAAUCAAGUCAGCGGUGAAAUUCUGUGGCUCAACCAUAGGACUGCCGUUGAAACUGGCUGCCUUGAGUGCGGCAGAGGUAGGCGGAAUGUGUGGUGUAGCGGUGAAAUGCAUAGAUAUCACACAGAACACCGAUUGCGAAGGCAGCUUACUGGAGCGCAACUGACGCUGAGGCACGAAAGCGUGGGGAUCGAACAGGAUUAGAUACCCUGGUA